This is a long non-coding RNA of Pangasianodon hypophthalmus (striped catfish), 10639 nucleotides long. RefSeq lists it as uncharacterized. The record is from RefSeq and is a predicted model, not a curated record. The transcript has 2 exons. Lineage: Eukaryota; Metazoa; Chordata; Actinopteri; Siluriformes; Pangasiidae.
UGUUUCUAAAAUAAAUAGUAUAAAUACUAAGAAAUAAAAUAAUAAUAAUCAGAUCAAUAAAAAAAUAAUCAGUAUCAAUAAUACUAAUUUUAUAGGCUAACAGAAAAUAAUUUAUUGACUACUUCAAGUACGUUUUAUUUCGGGAUGUAUUUAUAAGAGUUUGUUUUUCCUUAUAUAUGCUAUAUAAUUAUUAGCAAAGCACAGUUUGCACUGUAACUCAAAUAAAUAACUGAGAAGGGGUUCAUUUGUUAUUUGCAGUAGGCAGUGAGGGAAUCACUGUUGCAGCGGUUGUUUACUCUACAGCUAAUCAGGACUGCACUGUGGUCCAUUCAGCCUGUAUUACAGCCACUCGGGAUAUUUGGACGCUAUUUUAAUUCUGGGACUCUUCAAAGAUACAGACCACAAAUGACAUGUCCAUAUAGCAAUACAUUUUCCAUUCUCGUCUCUUGAAGGCACUUACAGGGCAGUUUAUUGGUAGUGUGUUUGUUUGUUUGUUAAGUUUAGUUUCACAUAUUAUUUGAGUGUCAUCAUUACUUCCCCGGUUUUCGUAUAAUUUGCCUUUUGAUAUAAAAAAAAGACACGUACAUUUUGAAUAUCCAAAAAAAUAUAUAAAUCAUAAUUAUUCCCGUGCUUGCGAAACAAGUCAGUGUUCAGUAAAUUAAACCUGAAAUCAAACGCUAGGAGACUUUUCCCUUUGACAAGCUACACAUUUUUGCUGUGUGUGUGUGUGUGUGUGUGUGUGUGUUUACACCACGCUGACGGCCUUCAGUCUGGUAAAGUGCUUUAGCUCAGCGCGCGCGUGCUGGAGUCGCUGGCCGAAAAGCGCGUGCGCGUUUGAAGGUGUGUAAUUGGCCUUGGAGGCACGUACGGAAUUUCCAGAUGUGUAUGAAACCGAAGCUGCCUUCAGCGGCCACUGGAAGGUGGACUAUAGGUUAAACUCUCAUGUACACACAGCUUGCUUUUACGACGGCAAGCCUAGGCCCAAUAUUAACAUAAAUACUAUUACAUUUCUCUUAAGGGAAAAUCACCAAAAGAGCUCCAAAUGUGUUUAAUAUAGUCCCAUUACCCCGUUAGGUUCCUUGUCAUAAUAGCUUAACAUAGCGUCUUAUAAAUAUAAGCAGCAUAUUUAGAGCUCUUUUGGUCAUUUUGUGAUUUCCCCUAAUAUGAUUUAUUUUAAUAAUAAAAUAUAUUAAUAUAUAAUUUUUUUCUCCAAAAUAUUUAUUUAUUUUAAAAAACUGGAGUGCGUUUCCAGUUGUAAAGGAUUUGGCAGAUGCACGUUAGAGGCACACGAACGAAGCUUAUUUUGAACAGAUGUUAGCAUUUUCGUGUCACGUGAAUGGAACAGAUGUUCAGAGGCCGAGGACCGCCUUUGAAUUCACUCCACACGAAAAAUGAGCUUUGAAACAAAGCUUUUGCUUUCGCUCACGAUGAGAAAGACUGCUCCGAGUGACUCCGGCUGUCUUCAGGGACUCCAGUGUGCAGAGAUGAAACAGAUUUGUGUUGCAGAAGGCUGCAGAUUAACGGUGUGGAGGUGCGGAGCUGGAGACACAGAGAGAGUGGGAUGAGCUGCUAGUAGAAAAAAAACCUCUGCUUUACAGAAUCAGACCGUAUACAUCUAAUGAGCUUACCAGUCGGAUGGCCUGUGCCACCCUCGGUGGCCUGAGGGUAAUUAGCCUAAUGACGCUCUCAGCUCCCUCCCAGUGGGGUCGGCCCCACACCGGCCACUAAUCUCCAUGCACUCAUUAACCUGGAGCCCACCGGAGCCCCUAAGACAGACCACCUCUUACUGCCAUGAGGCCAAGAUAAGUGACGUGUUGUUCUUGGGCAUUACAAUGAUUCUCCUUUUCCUUCCUCUGCAUGUCAAGAAGCUUAAUCUGCACUCACAGGCUAAAGAGAGGCCUUGUGACAAAACUGAGUGAUAUUCUUUUAAGUAAAAUGUUUUUAAGUAAAACACUGAAUAUCUUAAUGAUUCAUUUGUUAUAACACACAUGAGCAUCCUGGCCAUUUGUGUAAUUCACAGUGGACACUAUUGUACUAUAUUCAGCAUAUCUGUUAAGUAAGUACAUAAGUACAUUAGGCCAUAAUUAGGCCAUAAUUUCAUUUUAGAUUAUAAUUUAUCUUGCUUUUUACAUAGACUAGUGUAAUAGCUUUUUUUGGUCUAGGGUUGCAUGACUAAAGUUUUGAAAUAUUUUUGUCUGGUUUUGAUUGUGUGUAGGACCUUUGCAUUUUUUUGAAUAGCUAAGAGCAUGAAACAAAUAUUAAGCGAAGCAAUGACAUAUGAUGAUGACAUAUUCUUUCCUUCUUUGCAAACUUUUAACAAGGUUAAAGAUGGCUUGUGAUGGCACACCAGACAUUAGAACAUCUUUAUUUCUGCACAUUCAUCAUAACAUUGCUAAUAAGCAUGUGCUGGCUUGACAUUUUCAGGUAUGUCACACAGCGAGUGAAUGGAGGAUCAAUUACUUGUGUCGGAUUGGGUCACUAAGUAUGUUAAAUGGAUGUUAAGUGGAUUGUCGGUAUCUUGGUUUUAGGCAUGGCCCCAGGCCACAGUCAUCAAAUGUCAUUGUAUUUUUAAGUGCCUUUAUUCAGGAUCCUGGUGCAAAAACUAAAGACUAUUUUUGCUCAACAUUUACCACUGUUCCUAGUCAAUAUACAGAAUAUGAUAGUGUUACUAUUCUCCUUUCUCCUUUUUGGUUUGAAAUUUCACAUUGUUUAAACAAUGCCAAAAAGCAAUACAAAUGUAAAAUGCACUGCUAUUAUAAGACCAAUAUAGAAAAUGUUGUUGGAUACAUUUUAAAUCUUUCUAUAUUUUCUCUCUUUAAAAAAAGAAGAUACAGAGUUAUGAUUGUCUUUCUAUAAUGAUGUAUAAGUAGCAGUUAGUUCCAGGUUGUAAAGAGAUUUAUCUUCUAAGCACAUUUCCCAUCAGAAUGACAAGGUCACCAUUUUAAAAAUUUGAAAAUCACCUUUAAUAAAUAAUAGAAGGCCACAAUCAGAUUGGGUAGCACUUAUGCAGUAAUAGUGUGCAUUUACAAUAACAACAUUAUAUGCUAUUUCAAAAGUUUAUGUAAUGAAUUGGAGAAGCAAUGUGCAUUAUGUGAUGAAUAUAUCAAUGGUAAUUUCAAUAUUACCAAAACUAUGUUUUCAACAUUCAAUUACAGCUAUUAAUAAACUGCAUAGCAACCAUACACUUAAUGAAAACCCAGCCCUGUUUAUGUGGACUAAUGUUACACAUUUUGAUUAGAAGCCACUGGAUGUGUUCAAAAUGUUUUGGUGUGCUGCUUUGCACAUUGGGACUAAGGAAGAAAUCAAUCAUUGUUGACUAGCCAACAGUCAUGUUGUGUUCAACACUGGCAUAGCACGGUAAAGAGCGUUCAAACUGUCCUCAGACGUUAAAGCAUAGCAAAGCACAUCUGUUCCACAGGUUACACUUUAAGGAUUGCAAAGAUAAAUCAAUAUGAAACUGCUAUGAAAUGUACUUUACUCUCCAACCACCAUAAAGAAGAACAUUUGUGUUGAGUUUGUAGAACGCAUUGCAUGGGAAACAGUUUAUUGGAAGACAGUACGAUGAUUGAUGGGCACAAUGGAAGCUUUUCACUGAUCGAAGACUUGUAUCAGAUGUUUAAUCUGAAGUUUAUUUUUUUACUGAUUGCUUUAGUUAAAUAUCAAUCUUAAAAUGCAGUUUUGGCAAAGAAGAAAAUUGCAUAUGCUCAUAGAAUGAUCCAACAGUGGGCUCUGCCAGAGAGACAAACUAAAGAAUCUCUAGAUUUAACCAUUUUUUUUUGUAAGAGUGUACUUGUAGCCCUAUAACACUUUUUUUCAUUACAGGUUGCAAAUACUCUAGUUUUCUUUUUUAUAGUUUCUUUGUCCUGUGUCUUCCUCCAGGGUAUCCAAUGAUAUAAGCUAGCCACACUGUUUUCUUUCAAGAGUAUUAACCUAUCCAUUUCCAUCUAACCUAACCUAUUCUCCGUUGGUUAAAUCAGCGCUAUAUCCUGGGGCGACCAUGGAGCUGUUUCAGCAAUUCCUGAUUGUGGCUUUAAUAAGGCCCUGAUAGCACUCAUAAUGCUGUAGUGUUCUUUGUCCAAGCCUCCAGUGAUCUCUAUGGGACACUUUCUGUGGAAACGUGCAGGAUGACACCAACUUCUCACUUAUCUCUAUGCUGAAACACUGUGUCCCUGGAGCGCUGGCUCCGGCCCAUGGUGUGGUGAACCUGGCUGCUGCUGACCUAGGUACUAAAUCAAGUUCAAAGCAGAGCUCUGCGUGCUCGCCAGUAUUGUGUUACAUGUUUGCUGUUGGGAAGUGGACAGCCUGCCUGAAGUUUGGUCCACGUCUGGGCUCCCCUUUUGACUCCUCCUCACAGCAUGAGCUCGGUUUGUGCGACACGACCUUAGGGCAGGAUGUACUGCAUUUCUCUCUUAACCCAAUAACAUUAAUCUGGUCACGGUGGAGUUUUCCUUCCUUAUUUUUUAUGAUUUUUAUGGCUUUUUUUUUACAUUUUGUUUUUUAACAACUAAAAAAGACCAGAGACUCAUUUACUUAACCUUGAGAGAUUGUAUGGACAAAAUGACGUAUGUAAAAAACCUGGCUUAAAAUGGUCCGUUAGGUUAUUUUAAAAAAAAAUUGUCUAAUGUCUCAACCCAGACUGCUUUUAUAUUCCAACCGCACAUACCACAUGGCUGAUAAGAUAAAAGUAUGCAGCGGUGCAGACUGGAGAAUGGAGGCAAGGCAGAACAUAACGCUAUUUUAGAGUUCAAUUGCCUGGUACUCUGAUCAUGUUGAUAAGGCAGUCUGAUAAACACGGACACUCACGCAAAGUGUAGUCUGUGCCACAGCACCUAGGGCCCCUAACGCUAUGGUGGUAUGGGAGAGUAAUUACUGCCUCUUGCCCCAUGCUACACCACAUUAAUUCUUGAUGGGCUGCAGCUCAGUGCUAACUACCAUCCUUGAAGGAAAUUCAUCUCCACUGCCAUCUCACCCAUAGCCCCUUUCAAAAAGAUGACCAAAAAGUUACUAGUAGGGUUAAAGAGCUGAAUCUGUAUCUUCGUUUGAACUUAAAUAAAUGUAGACGAUAAUGUAGUGCUGGAGGGCUGUGUAAAUGUGGCGUGUCAAUAUUGUUAAGCAUUUGAAAGGUUUUCUUCAACCUUUAGUAAAAAUAAUGAUGUUGCGUUUUCAUUCAGAGACAAAUUAGAGUGUAAACAUGCAACACACAUGUUACUUAGUAAGGAUCAGAAAUUAAAAACCAUCACAGAAAUGAAAGCUAUUUUCUUUGUAUAUUCUUACUGUAUAUCCUAUUUUCUCUUAAACCUUUAUAAGAAGUUGGUAGAUAAAAGUUACUUUUUAUACAGCAGUCUGGUUAUCUCCCAGAGGCAAUGCAGAUGCAAGCUAAGAAAUUGCUAAUCAUCAUGCCAGAAAGAAAGGGAUAAAACUAAGACACGGUAAGGAAGAAGCAUUGAGAGUGACUCUUAGCUAGACACUUUAGCUAGUUGAGUUUAGAAAUAUGUCAUUAUAAAAUAGUAACAGUUUCAUCAUAAAAGAGUAUUGAAGUAUGUUCAGGUCAGUGACAUGACAAAGUACUGUGUAGUUAUUUUAGUGUGUUGAAUACUUUUCCUUUCGUUUCACAUCUGAUGGGAAAACUCAACAUUACCAACAGUCUCAAGGUGAAACAGUUGUGCUUUUCCUGCAGUGACCUUUGAACGAGGGCCUGAAAUAUGAAAAGGCCCACAGCACAUAAAAUAGCCGCGUUCCUCUGUAGUAAAGUCAGCAGUAAAGCUUACUAAUUAGAGCUACCAUGGUUACUGCGUCAAACAGCGGCAGCAGGGCUGAGAACACUUCUACGACAUCAAACAGCCUCAGAUCGACAGACUCCUGCACGGGCUGCACGGGACCUGGUUUGAAUUAAGCGACUUCCACACUCGCCUCACAAAUGCGUACUCCAGAGGGAGACAGGGGAAGAAAAAAGGGGGAGAAAGAGACAAAGUGAGAAAGGGCCCAAGCUGAACUUUGCUGGAUUUCAUUAGACUCAAUUAUCUUAUCUGUUUCGUUUCAAAGGCUGACCUGAGGGACGGACAGCAGUUGGGCGAGCUCACUGGUAUGUUGAGACUGUGUUCACUGAGAGUCUGCAUCCCGCCAACUGGGUCAUUACAACACUCAGACUCCCUGCCUGAGGUGCUCAAAUAUUUGUGUGCUUUUGUAAAUAAUUUUAAAUUUUUUAACCUCCCUCAAGCAAACAAGUCUUUGGUUUAUGUGCCUUUUCUUUUCUUUUUUUUUUUUUUUGGAAAACGUAUACAAUUUCUCCCUCUUAACCAAUUCCAUCUGACAUUUCAGCUGCAUUUGUAUCUAUUUUUAAACAUUACAAUCUAUCCAAGAUUUAUUUUGACUCAGUCUGUCUACUUUAAAUUUAUCGCUGAGUAAGAUAGAAUCAGUUCACCUCUUAUCUACUUCCUAUCCAGCUUUGUUCGCCUAAAACACAUGGGCCAAUCUACUUUUAUUUUAACACAACUUACACAUUGAACAUAAUGUCUCAUAUUUUAAAAGUAUUGCACACAAGGUGAAAUUUGGCAAGCAUUCAUAUGUUCUGUUCCUAGAAUCUGUCUAGGGCUUCAUCUGUAACUUCACUGUGACACAGGGAAUGCUUUGGCAAAUUGAUAUACUGUAUUAGAUGGCAGUUCAAAGCAUCCACCCAGUAAUUACAUAACCAUUUGCUCAUUUAGACUGUGAUUUUCCACACACAUUAUUCUUACUUCAGUACAAGGAUACACAUUUCUUUGCGUGGGCCAGUGGGAACAUUUCUUUGUAUAUUCAGUGGAUAAACAUUCUGAACAAAUGCCUUUAAAAUAAUUACAUUUAUAUGUCUUAUUACACACCCAUGAACAAAUACCUAUUUAGUGGUUAAAACAGAGUCUGCAUUAUUUAGCUGGUCUCUAAUUAUAUAUUCCAGGAAAUUAUGCAAUUAGCUAUUAUAGUCAGGAAAACAUUGUUCUUGCAGGCUAUGGGAAUUCAGUGCAUUUACAAUACAAGUCAGUGUUCUCUAAUGUACUCUUACUCUGCAAGCUGAGCUGUUCACUGUAAAGUAGCAGGCCAGCUGUCCAAGUAGUAUGGGCGCUGUGUGCCUGCUCCCACACUGUGGUUCAGAGAAACACCAACCUAGAAAUUACACAGCGUGGUCAAGCUCUCUAGAGAAGAUCAUCAAACACAAUGUUAAGCAGGGGCCUCUUCAUGAGCCCUGACAGUGCACCCACUCUUUCUUGAUAUCGACACCUGGGGCUUGCAUGGUCCCACAGGCCAAUUUGGGUAAUCAAACAAUGCAGCAACCCUGUCACACAACCUAGAGAAGGCAGAGCUAAUCAGGCAGGAGCUCAGUGCUCUUAGAUGGAGGGAACAGGAAAGGCUAGAGGACUUGGGGCUGAAAUGGAGAAGCCACCUCAUCAAGGGGCUCCUUUCCCCCCUCGGACGAGGUCGUCUUCAUCAUGGGUGCACCAGGAAAUGCACAGGACGGCAAGGUCACCACCAAUUGGCCUGCUAUGUGUUGUUGCCAUGGCAAACGUCCCAAGGGCCAAUGAAAACAGAUGACAUGAACAAUAAUAUGAGGUGUAAUCAACAGGGUCUUGGCUUCCACAUUUCAUCUGCCCACCCCUUUUCAUAAAAAAAAAAAAAAAACUUAUCUUGGAAGUGCUUGCUAGCUUUGCUCAGACAACUUCAUAUAAUUAAUGGCUGAAAGAACCCAGGCCUCACUUUGCCAAUACUAAAAAUGGACUAAAUACUAGGUAAUGGGCAAACUGUGGUGAAGGCUCUGUUCCAUUGUAGAUCAUUGAUUGCAAAAUGACACAAAACGAGGACUGCGCUCUCUCAGACAACCACAUAUGAGCAAUUGCUGAGAGAUCCCAGUCCUCACUUUGUGCCAUUGCGUAAUGGACACUCCACAAUACAACUCUGCCUUCACCAUUAAUGACUUAUUAACUGCCAGCAGUUCAUAACCUCUAUAUAGCUAUUACAAUGGGUUCCAUGGCCCCUGCAAAUGGAUCAUGUUGAGAAAAGAUAAGUGUCUUUUACAUGUUUAAACAACACAGUGUAUGUAAUUACUCCAGUUCAACAACUCAUAAACUAAUGUGUUAUCUGUUACAAUCUCCCCUGCCUGCUCUAUGCAUUGUAUUAGAUAGAGAAAUGAGAUUGCCAUGAAAUGAAAGCACAGUCUCAAAGUUCCAUACUCAGAGUAAAAAGACUGACCUCUGACCAUUUAGUCAAACAAUCCAAAUGCAACCUCCUCCCAACUCUUAACACUCAACAUUAAGGACGUAUCAGUGUUGUUCUCUCCAUGCGCUGGUAUAGUGCCAAAGUAUUUUGAAUUACUGCACAGCUUAUAAGCGCAUUGUUUGGCCCCCUAGAAAUUAUGUCAGCAUUGUACGCCAAAAUCUUUUAUCACUUGCCAAAAAUAAUGAGGGUAAAUAAUUGCAUCCAGAUGUGGCCCAUUUCAGCUGAUAGCAGCCUUCAUUUCCUGCCUCUGCUGUCUCAGACGAAGUACUACACCUUAGAAGAAACUGCCACUAACACACCCCCUUUCUUUUAUAUCAACGCUAACUUCCUGUGUUUGCAUGUGCACUCAGUUUGGAUCAUCUAAACAUGUGAAGAAAUCAUAUUUGUUUUUUUUAUAUGACAAAAACAACUCUGAGAAUUAAUGAACAUUUCGCAUAGUAUCAAUUACAGUGUCUACAUCUCAUUAAAAUAGAACAAUUGAGACGAAUAAAGGAGAGGCAUGAUUUAAAAGGGCUGGGUUGUAAUAUUUGUUUGAGUUAGGGGGCGGGUAGUAGGCGGGGUUCCCCUAAGUGAUGGAUGAAAAUGUGUGUAUUAUCUGCACAACCAUAUCAGUUUUCUCAGGUCUUCCAACUACAUGAAUUUCAAUAUUAAGUGAAUGCUGCUAGGCCAUUGAUUUGGGUCAUUUAUAGUCCUCAGGCCUGGAGCACUGCCUGUGUUGUGGCUUUUUAGAAAUCUGAAGUGAGUAGAGUUAAAAACAAAUUAUUUUAUAGUGGAUACUGAAUUCUAUGCUGGAAUUCAAGCUGGCUUAUUGUUGUCUGCUGAUAUGGUGCUGGUUUUCCUGUUUGCUUGGUUGAAAGAAAUUAAACGUAUUAAACAUUUUUUUAAAAUGAUAACAUCAAUAAAAUUGAAUGUAAGAUGGCAGGAAAGCAAGCAUUUAGCAUGUUUGCUCUCACUGCUCUGCUGUGCCUUGCCUGUUUCCUUUUUUUAAUCCUUUUUUAAUCCUUUUUUUUUUUAAAUCCUUCACAAACUAAUCUGAUGCUGCCAAAUUUAAAAUGAGUCAUCAUGAGGUAAUCACUUUUAUAUAUAUUUUAUAUAUUUAAUAUAUUUUUUACUUAUCUCAUUGCAAUUAAAAUAAUGUUACAACUUGUACUAAAACACAACGGUGAAGUUGGCUACCUUGGUUUUCUAUAAUGAGACACCAUUAUACAGAAGUCAGAUGCAUCAUGUUUUAUAUUAAGAGAAAAGGAAGUGUUUACUAGUGUAGAAACUGAAUGAACAGCUCUAUUUUAAUGAGGCCUGUUAACAUCUACAGAUGCACAGUGUCUUAUGGUAGUUUCACUAAAAGAAAAAAAAUGAUGAAACAGGGGCAGCUCUUUUUUAAGUCAUAGUUUUUAGCAUGAAAUUAAAACUUGGCUUGCACAGUUCAUUGCAGUUUGUAUAAAGAUUCCAUGGCAACAUUCUACUGAACACUGUGAGCCAUGGAAAUUACAAGUUUAUCAAUAGAUCUUUGAACUAUGUAUUGUGGUAAUAGGCAAUGCCACAAAAAUAGUGAUUUCAUGUAUUGAUUCAUGGAAAGAACACAAAUUUAAUAUUUAAAAAAACACUCAGAAAAGUAAUAACUUUCAAACAGUAUUUUGAGGAACUUGCUUGCAGUUGUUCUCCACUUUUGCUCAUGAAAAUAAAUGAUUUUGAGGCAAAGUUUGUCCACAGACAGUGGACUUGCCAUUGACUAAAGGGCAUUGUUUUGACAGUGAUUAGUCUCAUCAAAAUGAGAAUUCCUGACAUUAGUUCUGAGGCUGUUGGGCUUGAUGAAGUAGUCCCAGAGCUGCACUGUUUCAUGACUAGUCCCACGGAUCAUAAACUUUGAAAUCCAUAACCAAGCCCCAAUGCUCAUUUUCAAAACGGGUGGUCAAACUUCUCUCCCACACGUUCAUUCUAUUUCUGUCUUUUUUCCAUUUGCAUCCUUGUGUCUCAAUUUUGAAUUCCCUCCUAUUCAUUUAUAACUUUAUUUUUUCCCAGUAAAUCUUUUGCUUUGAUCUCCUUGGCUUAUUUUUUUUUUCUCUCUCUCUAACUGCAUCCAUUUUCCCUCCAUCGUCUUCUUCCUGAUAUGUAGUUGUGUUACAUCUUCCUGCUCCUUUAUGCAGUGGAGCUGCAUGAAGCUUAGAUUCUCAGCACCGCAUACACAUGGAGGUGCAGGAGCAUUCUUCAUGCCAAACUGUAUCCUGCUCCACCUGAGCAAGCACAGCUUGAGUAAUAAGGAUGGGGAAAGAGAUAGAUCGAGAGAGAAAAACUGGUGACAGUGUGUUGGAAUUGUACCUCCAGUGUAUAAUAACAUUAGUCUUCCGUCCUGGCCCGGCUGAGCCUUCCUUCUGGACGUGGCCCUGCAUAAGCUUCA